This 563-nucleotide ribosomal RNA is filed under the name uncultured Glomeromycotina. RNAcentral's name for it is "SSU rRNA". It matches the Rfam family "Eukaryotic small subunit ribosomal RNA", at positions 548 to 1114 of the family's 1831-position model. The record is from RNAcentral. Lineage: Eukaryota; Fungi; Glomeromycota.
UUGGAGGGCAAGUCUGGUGCCAGCAGCCGCGGUAAUUCCAGCUCCAAUAGCGUAUAUUAAAGUUGUUGCAGUUAAAAAGCUCGUAGUUGAAUUUCGGGAUCAAAUUGUCGGUCGUGCCUCGGUACGCACUGGUAUUAUUGGUUCCUACCUUCUGAAGAACCGCGAUGUCAUUAAUUUGGUGUCGUGGGGAAUCAGGACUGUUACUUUGAAAAAAUUAGAGUGUUUAAAGCAGGCUACGCUUGAAUACAUUAGCAUGGAAUAAUGAAAUAGGACGUUUGAUUCUAUUUUGUUGGUUUCUAGGAUUGACGUAAUGAUUAAUAGGGAUAGUUGGGGGCAUUAGUAUUCAAUUGUCAGAGGUGAAAUUCUUGGAUUUAUUGAAGACUAACUACUGCGAAAGCAUUUGCCAAGGAUGUUUUCAUUAAUCAAGAACGAAAGUUAGGGGAUCGAAGACGAUCAGAUACCGUCGUAGUCUUAACCAUAAACUAUGCCGACUAGGGAUCGGAUGAUGUUAAUUUUUUAAUGACUCAUUCGGCGCCUUACGGGAAACCAAAGUGUUUGGGUUC